Molecule: ribosomal RNA, 993 nt
Filed under: Bulbithecium hyalosporum
Lineage: Eukaryota; Fungi; Ascomycota; Sordariomycetes; Hypocreales; Bionectriaceae
Description: SSU rRNA
Rfam family: Eukaryotic small subunit ribosomal RNA
Source: RNAcentral
AACUGCGAAUGGCUCAUUAUAUAAGUUAUCGUUUAUUUGAUAGCACCUUACUACUUGGAUAACCGUGGUAAUUCUAGAGCUAAUACAUGCACAAAAUCCCGACUCACGAAGGGAUGUAUUUAUUAGAUACAAAACCAAUGCCCUCCGGGGCUCACUGGUGAUUCAUGAUAACUUCGCGAAUCGCACAGCCUUGCGCUGGCGAUGGUUCAUUCAAAUUUCUUCCCUAUCAACUUUCGAUGUUUGGGUAUUGGCCAAACAUGGUUGCAACGGGUAACGGAGGGUUAGGGCUCGACCCCGGAGAAGGAGCCUGAGAAACGGCUACUACAUCCAAGGAAGGCAGCAGGCGCGCAAAUUACCCAAUCCCGACACGGGGAGGUAGUGACAAUAAAUACUGAUACAGGGCUCUAUUGGGUCUUGUAAUUGGAAUGAGUACAAUCUAAAUCUCUUAACGAGGAACAAUUGGAGGGCAAGUCUGGUGCCAGCAGCCGCGGUAAUUCCAGCUCCAAUAGCGUAUAUUAAAGUUGUUGUGGUUAAAAAGCUCGUAGUUGAACCUUGGGCCUGGCUGGCCGGUCUGCCUCACCGCACGCACUGGACCGGCCGGGCCUUUCCCUCUGUGGAACCUUAUGCCCUUCACUGGGUGUACGGGGAAACAGGACUUUUACUUUGAAAAAAUUAGAGUGCUCCAGGCAGGCAUAUGCUCGAAUAUAUUAGCAUGGAAUAAUAAAAUAGGACGCGUGGUUCUAUUUUGUUGGUUUCUAGGACCGCCGUAAUGAUUAAUAGGGACAGUCGGGGGCAUCAGUAUUCAAUUGUCAGAGGUGAAAUUCUUAGAUUUAUUGAAGACUAACUACUGCGAAAGCAUUUGCCAAGGAUGUUUUCAUUAAUCAGGAACGAAAGUUAGGGGAUCGAAGACGAUCAGAUACCGUCGUAGUCUUAACCAUAAACUAUGCCGACUAGGGAUCGGACGAUGUUUUUUAUUGACUCGUCCGGCACCUU